RNAcentral lists this long non-coding RNA (1142 nucleotides) under Phasianus colchicus (ring-necked pheasant). RNAcentral describes it as "lncRNA (ENSPCLG00000012658.1)". The record is from RNAcentral. Lineage: Eukaryota; Metazoa; Chordata; Aves; Galliformes; Phasianidae.
GCAAUAAUUGCUUCUCAGCAGUGGGAGAUCCUUGUACAUAGCGUGAAAGGGUGCAAGAACUCACUCUGCCAGAAAGCAGGUGAUUCCAACAGGGCACAGGCUGGCUGCUCUGGGUGUGAGAGGCUGGGCAGCACCAGGAGCCCUCCCAGAGGGACUGGGGCAGGCUGGGAGGGGAUGGAUGCACCGCCUGGCCUCCUGCCUGCAGCUCCCCGGGUACAGGGCUAGCAGGGGCAGGCUGCUGGGCAGUGUUAUGACAGAGUAUGAAACUGCUAGGCUCAUCUCACACAACAAAGAUUUCAUCACGUACUCCUCAAAAAAGCAGGGUUAGCUCCUCCCAUUUGUUUUAUAACGAUGAGUUUAAGCCUGCCCGGAGGGGAAAAAAAGUAAGCGAGAAUCCUCUGAAACUGGAUGCUUUUCUAUGUAAGGCUUUGAAAUACCAGGGCUGGUUUAGGCAAUUCUUCAGCUGAGGACUGGGAUGUUUUUUGGCCCCAGCAGCCUCCUGGGAAGGUUUUGUAAGGACAGCUGUGGAAUGCGCUCUGUUUACCAACUUCUUGCCAUGGAAAACAAAGCUUUGAUUCCUGAGCCAUGGAAAACUUCUGCCGAUGAAUCCCCACCCCCUCUCUGGGGAGGGAAGCACAACAAACACUAAUGCCUCUUCUCCCUUUUAUGCCUGGCGUAUUAAUCACCGAGCAGGGCUCGCCGCGUCCCGCUCAGCCUGUGUUUGCCCUCUAACUACGGGGAGGAGUUCUGCUUUGUCUAUAUAAAGCUGCACCACUUUGCUGAACACUGUAACAGAACCAAACUUAGAGACUCGAUCACCCAUCCUCUGUGGGGAGAGCAGACCAGCAGGAGCCAUGUUUGGGAUUGGGAAGAAGCUCGCCGAGGAAGCAACGCAACAGGCUGAGAGUGCUGCGCAGGCGGCAGUUAACACAGUGGGCCAGACUGUGCAGCAAGCAGUGGAACAGGCCAAGGAUGCUGGUCAGAAAGCUCUCGAUGAAGUCUACAAGGUCGCUGAAACUGGUGAAAAAGCUGUAAAAAAUGUAGCAAAUCAAGCAACUUCCUGGGGCAAAAGCUUUGGACAAUGAAGAUAACGUAACACCACUGAAUGUAUUCUUAAAUAAAUAAAACCCCUACAGUGUACA